This 67-nucleotide transfer RNA is filed under the name Schultesia lampyridiformis. RNAcentral describes it as "tRNA-Ser". It matches the Rfam family "tRNA". Rfam says of the family: Transfer RNA (tRNA) molecules are approximately 80 nucleotides in length. Their secondary structure includes four short double-helical elements and three loops (D, anti-codon, and T loops). Further hydrogen bonds mediate the characteristic L-shaped molecular structure. tRNAs have two regions of fundamental functional importance: the anti-codon, which is responsible for specific mRNA codon recognition, and the 3' end, to which the tRNAs corresponding amino acid is attached (by aminoacyl-tRNA synthetases). tRNAs cope with the degeneracy of the genetic code in two manners: having more than one tRNA (with a specific anti-codon) for a particular amino acid; and 'wobble' base-pairing, i.e. permitting non-standard base-pairing at the 3rd anti-codon position. The record is from RNAcentral. Lineage: Eukaryota; Metazoa; Arthropoda; Insecta; Blattodea; Blaberidae.
AGUUAAUAACUUAGUAAAGUUUAUGUUUUGAAAACAUUUUUCAGAGGUUAAAAUCCUCUAUUAACUU